Molecule: unclassified non-coding RNA, 405 nt
Filed under: soil metagenome
Description: partial contains 5.8S ribosomal RNA, internal transcribed spacer 2, and large subunit ribosomal RNA
Rfam family: 5.8S ribosomal RNA (bases 1-121)
Source: RNAcentral
GAUGAAGAACGUAGCGAAAUGCGAUAAGUAAUGUGAAUUGCAGAAUUCAGUGAAUCAUCGAAUCUUUGAACGCACCUUGCGCCCUUUGGCCAUUCCGAAGGGCAUGCCUGUUUGAGUAUCAUGAACACCUCAACUCUUCAUGGAUUUCCAUGAUGAGCUUGGACUUUGGGGGUCUUGCCGGCCUGUGGUCGGCUCCUCUCAAAUGAAUCAGCUUGCCGGUUUUUGGUGGGCAUCACAGGUGUGAUAACUAUCUACGCUUGUGGUUUUCCACCAGGGUAACCUUCAGCAGUGGAGGUUCACUGGAGCUUACAAAUGUCUCUCCUCCGUGAGGACAGCCCUUUGAAUGUUUGAUCUCAAAUCAGGUAGGAAUACCCGCUGAACUUAAGCAUAUCAAUAAGCGGAGGA